This 208-nucleotide unclassified non-coding RNA is filed under the name Hevea brasiliensis (rubber tree). Lineage: Eukaryota; Viridiplantae; Streptophyta; Magnoliopsida; Malpighiales; Euphorbiaceae. The record is from RNAcentral.
AAAAAAAAAAAAAAUUUUAUCUUUUAACAUAAAUCUUCAUCUCAUUCAAAUGGGCAAAUUUACAAAAUAAAGAGCAACACAAGAAGGAUAAAAUAAGAAUAAAUCCAAGUUUAAAGCGGAAGAUCACUACUAUUAAAAAAGAAGGCUAAAGAAGAGAAAAUUUCAGAGCAAAAGUUUUCAAGACAAGUAAUAUAGUAAUAAAACUUGU